This 497-nucleotide ribosomal RNA is filed under the name uncultured bacterium. Its description in RNAcentral is "partial 16S ribosomal RNA". It matches the Rfam family "Bacterial small subunit ribosomal RNA", at positions 28 to 507 of the family's 1533-position model. The record is from RNAcentral.
GAUGAACGCUGGCGGCGUGCCUAAUACAUGCAAGUCGAGCGAACGGACGAGAAGCUUGCUUCUCUGAUGUUAGCGGCGGACGGGUGAGUAACACGUGGAUAACCUACCUAUAAGACUGGGAUAACUUCGGGAAACCGUAGCUAAUACCGGAUAAUAUUUUGAACCGCAUGGUUCAAAAGUGAAAGACGGUCUUGCUGUCACUUAUAGAUGGAUCCGCGCUGCAUUAGCUAGUUGGUAAGGUAACGGCUUACCAAGGCAACGAUGCAUAGCCGACCUGAGAGGGUGAUCGGCCACACUGGAACUGAGACACGGUCCAGACUCCUACGGGAGGCAGCAGUAGGAAAUCUUCCGCAAUGGGCGAAAGCCUGACGGAGCAACGCCGCGUGAGUGAUGAAGGUCUUCGGAUCGUAAAACUCUGUUAUUAGGGAAGAACAUAUGUGUAAGUAACUGUGCACAUCUUGACGGUACCUAAUCAGAAAGCCACGGCUAACUACGUG